UAAAUGGCACCGUUUUCUGUCCUUUAUAAAAGCCAAAACAAAGCCACAAAACAACAUUCGGCCUUUAUUUAUGAAUCAAAACCCUAGCCCCCUUUUAAUCCUCUUCUUGGCCGAUCCUAAAUCCCUCCCCUUAAAUGCCAAUCCGCCACCAUAAACGGCGACUAGCAGAUUCAAGCUUCGAGGGUUGCCAUUUUCAGCCAUGAAAUUCCCUUUAAGCCUCGAUUUCAACGAAGUAAAUAGAAUCCAAUAGCAUAUUUGUAAGGUUCUAUCGCGGAGAUGACCGUAUGGAGGAAGAGGUCGUUCGUGGUGACGUGGAGGCCUGAUUCCAGGCUAGAAGGCUACGGUGCAAACUGUUUCAGAAACCCUUAGGGUUUCUGGAAUCCUUAAUUAUUAGGCCUUGAGGGUUCUUCAAAUUGGGCCACUGUAAUUGGGUUGGGUUAGGGUUUAGGGUUUUGGGAUUCAAUUUGUAUUUGGGUUAAAUGAACUGUAAAUGGACUGUUUUAAUUUUUUGGUUUUUUUUGUUAA
Gossypium arboreum is the source of this 525-nucleotide long non-coding RNA. RefSeq lists it as uncharacterized. Lineage: Eukaryota; Viridiplantae; Streptophyta; Magnoliopsida; Malvales; Malvaceae. The transcript is spliced from 2 exons. The record is from RefSeq and is a predicted model, not a curated record.